This 1451-nucleotide long non-coding RNA is filed under the name Equus caballus (horse). RNAcentral describes it as "lncRNA (ENSECAG00000056334.1)". The record is from RNAcentral. Lineage: Eukaryota; Metazoa; Chordata; Mammalia; Perissodactyla; Equidae.
GUCUUAUCGUCAGGUAUGCUGAACCACAGUAUUUUUGAUACCACACUUCAUCUCCACUUCCUGUUUCUCCAGGGACUGAGAAGGGAGAUACGGCAGAGGAAUCAGACCUCUCUGGAAGACUUCAUCUUUGAAGGGCUCUUUGAUGACUCCCUCACCCAUCUUUUUCUUUUCUCCUUGACCAUGGUGCUCUUCCUUAUUGCAGACUUUACUGCCCCUUCAGCCUGGGCUUCAAAAGGUGAACACGUACAGCAGAUGUGAGAGCAACCACCAGCAAGGAACAAAACCUGCACUCAGCAGAACCCAGCCUAGAUCCGCUGACCAGCCAACCAACAUAGAGAUACAUUCAUGAGAAUAAAUAAUUGCUGCAAGUUACAGAGUUCUAUAUAAGUUUUUGGAUGUAGUAUUAUGAUGCUAAUAACUAAUGGAUAUAGAAAUUGGUGCACAGAGGAAAGGCCAUAUGAGCACACAGAGGGAAGGUGGCCGUCCACAAGCCAAGAGAAGAGGGCUCAAAAUGAAACCAAUCCACCUGGAGCCUGGAUCUGGGGCUUUUAGCGUAUAUAACUCUGAGAAAAUAAACUUGUGUUGGUUAGACCGCCUAGUGUUUCAUAUUUUGUUACAGCAUCCUGAGCUGACUAAUUCAUCUCAUAUGGGCACAUUCCUUGUUAGGAUUCUCUUACAGAGAAUCUCUUUCCAAGAUGAAAUUAAAGGGAAGUGAAUUCUCUCUUCAUUUCUUAAAAAUCACAAUGUAUAUCUGGGGAAUAAGAAAUUGUGGAAAAGCAAGGUGAAAUCCCCCAGGGGAAUGAGUUCCAGCAAUUCUCAUGACACACGGUGUGGCCUAACUCCCUAGCUUGUUGUUUUAUGUGCCUGGAGAAUCUGAAGAACAAGGCCAUCUGGAUCUCUAGACUUGAGUGCUGCUUUCCUGGAAUCCACCCUUGGAGCCCAGCCAUGUUGCAGGCUGACCCCAACCACCUGGAGGAGCCACCUGGGAGCACUGUGGUCCAUAGCCCCAACUGAGCUCCAGCCAGGUGAAUGUGCCAUCUUGUGAUGUUCAGUCCAGUCGAGACUUGUGGUGGCACAUCCUGCACGCCAUCUGAUGGCAACUCUGUGAAAGGCUCCUAGCAAGACCUGCCCAACCAAACCCUUCCUAAGCUCCUGACCCACAAAACAAUUACCCAAAUAAAAUGGUUGUUGUAAGUUGCCAAGUUUUGAGUUAAUUUGUCAGGUAGCAAAAGAUAACAGGAACAACCACCCAAAACAGAUGUGCAUUUGCCAGGGCCAAGGGAACUUACAGGGAACCACAUGUGAUAUUGGAGGAAGCAAAAAACCUUUAAGUUACAGUGAAUCACUGGAAGCAGCAGUGGGGUUGUGGGUCAGCUCGGAGGAAGGAGUGUUGAGGUCUAAGCAGGAGUGUCCUUUGGAGUCACAUGGUUCAGGGCAAAAGGGAAUGACAG